GAUGAACGCUGGCGGCGUGCCUAAUACAUGCAAGUCGAGCGAACAGAUAAGGAGCUUGCUCCUUUGACGUUAGCGGCGGACGGGUGAGUAACACGUGGGUAACCUACCUAUAAGACUGGGAUAAUUUCGGGAAACCGGAGCUAAUACCGGAUAACAUUUGGAACCGCAUGGUUCUAAAGUGAAAGAUGGUUUUGCUAUCACUUAUAGAUGGACCCGCGCCGUAUUAGCUAGUUGGUAAGGUAACGGCUUACCAAGGCGACGAUACGUAGCCGACCUGAGAGGGUGAUCGGCCACACUGGAACUGAGACACGGUCCAGACUCCUACGGGAGGCAGCAGUAGGGAAUCUUCCGCAAUGGGCGAAAGCCUGACGGAGCAACGCCGCGUGAGUGAUGAAGGGUUUCGGCUCGUAAAACUCUGUUAUUAGGGAAGAACAAAUGUGUAAGUAACUGUGCACGUCUUGACGGUACCUAAUCAGAAAGCCACGGCUAACUACGUG
This 497-nucleotide ribosomal RNA is filed under the name uncultured bacterium. Its description in RNAcentral is "partial 16S ribosomal RNA". It matches the Rfam family "Bacterial small subunit ribosomal RNA", at positions 28 to 507 of the family's 1533-position model. The record is from RNAcentral.